AUGAAGGACGUAGCAAUCUGCGAUAAGCCUCGGGGAGUGGAUAAGCACACUUUGAUCCGAGGGUCUCCGAAUGGGGAAACCCCGCUGGGCGGCGUGCCGACCCGGUGACUCCCGCCUGAAUAUAUAGGGCGGGUAGAGGGAACGUGGGGAAGUGAAACAUCUCAGUACCCACAGGAAGAGAAAGCAACCGCGAUUCCGUUAGUAGUGGCGAGCGAAACCGGAACAGGCUAAACCGAGUACGUGUGAUAUCCGGCAGGAGUUGCGUAUUCGGGGUUGUGGGACUUUUCAGGCUGCUCUGCCGAGCAGCCGGCGUUACAAGAAGGUAUAGACGAACUGGAUUGAAAGCCAGGUCAUAGAGGGUGCCAACCCCGUAGUCGAAAUGCCUCCCUUGGCGCGAAGAGUAUCCCAAGUAGCACGGGGCCCGAGAAAUCCCGUGUGAAUCUGUCAGGACCACCUGAUAAGCCUAAAUACUCCCAGAUGACCGAUAGCGGACAAGUACCGUGAGGGAAAGGUGAAAAGUACCCCGGGAGGGGAGUGAAAUAGUACCUGAAACCGUUUGCUUACAAACCGUUGGAGCAGCCCUAGCAGCUGUGACAGCGUGCCUUUUGAAGAAUGAGCCUGCGAGUUAGCGAUACGUGGCGAGGUUAACCCGUGAGGGGUAGCCGUAGCGAAAGCGAGUCUGAAUAGGGCGAUUCAGUCGCGUGUCCUAGACCCGAAGCGAAGUGAUCUAUCCAUGGCCAGGUUGAAGCGACGGUAAGACGUCGUGGAGGACCGAACCCACUUAGGUUGAAAACUGAGGGGAUGAGCUGUGGAUAGGGGUGAAAGGCCAAUCAAACUUCGUGAUAGCUGGUUCUCUCCGAAAUGCAUUUAGGUGCAGCGUUGCGUGUUUCUUGCCGGAGGUAGAGCUACUGGAUGGCCGAUGGGCCCUACAAGGUUACUGACGUCAGCCAAACUCCGAAUGCCGGUAAGUGAGAGCGCAGCAGUGAGACUGUGGGGGAUAAGCUUCAUAGUCGAGAGGGAAACAACCCAGACCACCAACUAAGGUCCCAAAGCGCGUGCUAAGUGGGAAAGGAUGUGGAGUUGCCUUGACAACCAGGAGGUUGGCUUAGAAGCAGCCACCCUUGAAAGAGUGCGUAAUAGCUCACUGGUCAAGUGAUUCCGCGCCGACAAUGUAACGGGGCUCAAGCACGCCACCGAAGUUGUGGCAUUGACAUUAUUGGUAGGCCUUCGUGGUCCAGCCGUGUUGAUGGGUAGGAGAGCGUCGUGUGGCCAGCGAAGCGGCGGUGUGAACCAGCCGUGGAGGCUACACGAGUGAGAAUGCAGGCAUGAGUAGCGAAAGACAUGUGAGAAACAUGUCCUCCGAAAGACCAAGGGUUCCAGGGUCAAGCUAAUCUUCCCUGGGUAAGUCGGGACCUAAGGCGAGGCCGACAGGCGUAGUCGAUGGACAACGGGUUGAUAUUCCCGUACCGGCGAAGAACCGCCCAAGCUAAUCCAGUAGUGCUAAGUGUCUGAAUCCCACUGACGGAUCCCUUCGGGGUGAAGCGUUGGGCCUAGCGCACGACCCCAUUCUGGUGCGGUUAGCGUAUUAACAGGUGUGACGCAGGAAGGUAGCCCAACCCGGGCGAUGGUUGUCCCGGGGCAAGUGCGUAGGCCGAGAGAUAGGCAAAUCCGUCUCUCACAUAGGCUGAGACACGAUGCGGAUAUAAAGUGGGUGAUCCUAUGCUGCCAAGAAAAGCAUCGACGCGAGGUUCUAGCCGCCCGUACCCCAAACCGACUCAGGUGGUCAGGUAGAGAAUACCAAGGAGAUCGAGAGAAUCGUGGUUAAGGAACUCGGCAAAAUGCCCCCGUAACUUCGGGAGAAGGGGGGCCUUCGGCGUAUUAGGACUUGCUCCGAAAGCGUUUGGAGGCCGCAGAGACUAGUGGGUAGCGACUGUUUAUUAAAAACACAGGUCCGUGCCAAGUCGCAAGACGAUGUAUACGGACUGACGCCUGCCCGGUGCUGGAAGGUUAAGAGGACCGGUUAGCCGCAAGGCGAAGCUGAGAAUUUAAGCCCCAGUAAACGGCGGUGGUAACUAUAACCAUCCUAAGGUAGCGAAAUUCCUUGUCGGGUAAGUUCCGACCUGCACGAAUGGCGUAACGACUUCCCAACUGUCUCAACCGCGAACUCGGCGAAAUUGCACUACGAGUAAAGAUGCUCGUUACGCGCAGCAGGACGGAAAGACCCCGUGACCUUUACUACAGCUUGGUAUUGGUGUUCGGUGUGGCUUGUGUAGGAUAGGUGGGAGACUGUGAAGCGGUGACGCCAGUUACCGUGGAGUCAUUGUUGAAAUACCACUCUGGUCACUCUGGAUAUCUAACUUCGAACCGUAAUCCGGUUCAGGGACAGUGCCUGGUGGGUAGUUUAACUGGGGCGGUUGCCUCCCAAAAAGUAACGGAGGCGCCCAAAGGUUCCCUCAACCUGGUUGGCAAUCAGGUGUCGAGUGUAAGUGCACAAGGGAGCUUGACUGUGAGACUGACAGGUCGAGCAGGGACGAAAGUCGGGACUAGUGAUCCGGCAGUGGCUUGUGGAAGCGCUGUCGCUCAACGGAUAAAAGGUACCUCGGGGAUAACAGGCUGAUCUUGCCCAAGAGUCCAUAUCGACGGCAUGGUUUGGCACCUCGAUGUCGGCUCGUCGCAUCCUGGGGCUGGAGUAGGUCCCAAGGGUUGGGCUGUUCGCCCAUUAAAGCGGUACGCGAGCUGGGUUUAGAACGUCGUGAGACAGUUCGGUCCCUAUCCGCUGCGCGCGUAGGAAAUUUGAGAGGAUCUGACCCUAGUACGAGAGGACCGGGUUGGACGAACCUCUGGUGUGCCAGUUGUUCUGCCAAGAGCACCGCUGGUUAGCUACGUUCGGGAUGGAUAACCGCUGAAAGCAUCUAAGUAGAUGCUUUCAGCGGUUAUC
RNAcentral lists this ribosomal RNA (2938 nucleotides) under Microbacterium sp. ALBL_044. RNAcentral's name for it is "bacterial LSU rRNA". It matches the Rfam family "Bacterial large subunit ribosomal RNA". Lineage: Bacteria; Bacillati; Actinomycetota; Actinomycetes; Micrococcales; Microbacteriaceae. The record is from RNAcentral.